RNAcentral lists this ribosomal RNA (383 nucleotides) under uncultured Cyanobacterium sp. Its description in RNAcentral is "bacterial SSU rRNA". It matches the Rfam family "Bacterial small subunit ribosomal RNA", at positions 383 to 782 of the family's 1533-position model. Lineage: Bacteria; Bacillati; Cyanobacteriota; Cyanophyceae; Chroococcales; Geminocystaceae. The record is from RNAcentral.
CUGACGGAGCAAGACCGCGUGAGGGAGGAAGGCCCUUGGGUUGUAAACCUCUUUUCUCAGGGAAGAAAACUGACGGUACCUGAGGAAUCAGCCUCGGCUAACUCCGUGCCAGCAGCCGCGGUAAUACGGAGGAGGCAAGCGUUAUCCGGAAUUAUUGGGCGUAAAGCGUCCGCAGGUGGCACUUCAAGUCUGCUGUCAAAGGUCGGGGCUUAACUCCGGAAAGGCAGUGGAAACUGAAGCGCUAGAGUGCGGUAGGGGUAGAGGGAAUUCCCGGUGUAACGGUGAAAUGCGUAAAGAUCGGGAAGAACAUCGGUGGCGAAAGCGCUCUACUGGGCCGCAACUGACACUCAGGGACGAAAGCUAGGGGAGCGAAUGGGAUUAAA